RNAcentral lists this long non-coding RNA (677 nucleotides) under Cairina moschata (Muscovy duck). RNAcentral's name for it is "domestica (muscovy Duck (domestic type)) lncRNA (ENSCMMG00000006701.1)". Lineage: Eukaryota; Metazoa; Chordata; Aves; Anseriformes; Anatidae. The record is from RNAcentral.
CUUUUUUUUUCUUUCUUUCUUUCUUUUUUUUCUUUCUUUUUUUUCUUCACCUGCUGCUUUAUCAGCCUUAAGGGUGUGCAGCUUAAAGUGACAGAAUAAUGUUUUAACUGGAAAUGGGGAGUGAGUGAAGUAACCCUACAGAUUUUGCCCCUCUCGUACUCACUCCCACAGGGAACUCUUGAAGUGACACGCAAAUGGGCAAGCUGGGAGACUGUGGUAGAAGAGCUUGCAGCCUAUGAUCAGUCAACCACUUCCUAGGAACAAGAGCCCUUAGGGGACAGUCUUGCUGAUCCCAAAGCUGAAAGACAUGGUGCCUGUACAGGACCCCUCUGAGCUGACAGUGGGAUAAACAGAGACACUCUUGCUGCUGCUGGCUCAGACAAAUGCUGAUCUUUGCUCUGCUGAGGAAAUCACAUUACUGUAAAAACAGAAGAAAGGAUUGCCUCUGUGGCUCUCCUAAGUGAUGGGAGUAUGGUGUAAUAGAAUCUGAGACCAUCUACAAACUAAAGCCACCUGUUUUACUUCUGGACUUGUGGUGUCAGACCAUAAGAUGAAGUUUCCUUUGAGUUUUGUUUGCAGCUUAACCUCCCUAGUGAUUUUCAGGUAUGAAUGAUCAAUAUGCAGUUCAUCCUCAUGCAGUUCAGUUAGCAGUUCAUUCAAUCUGUAAGAUGGCUUUA